RNAcentral lists this ribosomal RNA (467 nucleotides) under uncultured bacterium. RNAcentral's name for it is "partial 16S ribosomal RNA". It matches the Rfam family "Bacterial small subunit ribosomal RNA", at positions 29 to 507 of the family's 1533-position model. The record is from RNAcentral.
ACGAGCGCUGGCGGCGUGCUUAACACAUGCAAGUCGAACGGAAAGGCCCUGCUUUUGUGGGGUGCUCGAGUGGCGAACGGGUGAGUAACACGUGAGUAACCUGCCCUUGACUUUGGGAUAACUUCAGGAAACUGGGGCUAAUACCGGAUAGGAGCUCCUGCUGCAUGGUGGGGGGUGGAAAGUUUCGGCGGUUGGGGAUGGACUCGCGGCUUAUCAGCUUGUUGGUGGGGUAGUGGCUUACCAAGGCUUUGACGGGUAGCCGGCCUGAGAGGGUGACCGGCCACAUUGGGACUGAGAUACGGCCCAGACUCCUACGGGAGGCAGCAGUGGGGAAUAUUGCACAAUGGGCGGAAGCCUGAUGCAGCAACGCCGCGUGCGGGAUGACGGCCUUCGGGUUGUAAACCGCUUUCGCCUGUGACGAAGCGUGAGUGACGGUAAUGGGUAAAGAAGCACCGGCUAACUACGUG